This 584-nucleotide ribosomal RNA is filed under the name Aspergillus fumigatus. Its description in RNAcentral is "eukaryotic LSU rRNA". The stretch from base 214 to 367 matches the Rfam family "5.8S ribosomal RNA". Lineage: Eukaryota; Fungi; Ascomycota; Eurotiomycetes; Eurotiales; Aspergillaceae. The record is from RNAcentral.
CUUCGUAGUGACCUGCGGAGGAUCAUUACCGAGUGAGGGCCCUCUGGGUCCAACCUCCCACCCGUGUCUAUCGUACCUUGUUGCUUCGGCGGGCCCGCCGUUUCGACGGCCGCCGGGGAGGCCCUGCGCCCCCGGGCCCGCGCCCGCCGAAGACCCCAACAUGAACGCUGUUCUGAAAGUAUGCAGUCUGAGUUGAUUAUCGUAAUCAGUUAAAACUUUCAACAACGGAUCUCUUGGUUCCGGCAUCGAUGAAGAACGCAGCGAAAUGCGAUAAGUAAUGUGAAUUGCAGAAUUCAGUGAAUCAUCGAGUCUUUGAACGCACAUUGCGCCCCCUGGUAUUCCGGGGGGCAUGCCUGUCCGAGCGUCAUUGCUGCCCUCAAGCACGGCUUGUGUGUUGGGCCCCCGUCCCCCUCUCCCGGGGGACGGGCCCGAAAGGCAGCGGCGGCACCGCGUCCGGUCCUCGAGCGUAUGGGGCUUUGUCACCUGCUCUGUAGGCCCGGCCGGCGCCAGCCGACACCCAACUUUAUUUUUCUAAGGUUGACCUCGGAUCAGGUAGGGAUACCCGCUGAACUUAAGCAUAUCAA